This 393-nucleotide long non-coding RNA is filed under the name Coturnix japonica (Japanese quail). RNAcentral describes it as "lncRNA (ENSCJPG00005002294.1)". The record is from RNAcentral. Lineage: Eukaryota; Metazoa; Chordata; Aves; Galliformes; Phasianidae.
CCCAUUUAGGCCCAUUUUGGGGCCAUAUAAACCCAUUUAGUCCCAUUUUGGGGCCAUUUUGGGCCCAUUUUGGGGCCAUUUCCCCCCAUUUAGGGCCAUUUUGGGGCCAUUUAACCCCAUUUAGGGCCAUAUAACCCCUUUUAGGGCCAUUUUGGGGUCAAUUCCCCCCAUUUAGGGCCAUAUAACCCCUUUUAGGGCCAUUUUGGGGUCAAUUCCCCCCAUUUAAGCCCAUUUUGGGGCCAUUUCCCCCCAUUUAGGGCCAUUUUGGGCCCAUAUAAACCCAUUUUAAUCCCCUUUUCGGGCCAUUUGACCCUAUAUAUACAUACACUCCCCCCUGCGCCACGCCCCCAAAGUCUCCGGCUAAAUACGGCAAGGGGGGGGGGGGGACAGCAA